GAUGAACGCUGGCGGCGUGCUUAACACAUGCAAGUCGAACGAUGAAGCCCAGCUUGCCGGGUGGAUUAGUGGCGAACGGGUGAGUAACACGUGAGUAACCUGCCCUUAACUCUGGGAUAAGCCUGGGAAACUGGGUCUAAUACCAGAUAGGAGCGUCCACCGCAUGGUGGGUGUUGGAAAGAUUUAUCGGUUUUGGAUGGACUCGCGGCCUAUCAGCUUGUUGGUGAGGUAAUGGCUCACCAAGGCGACGACGGGUAGCCGGCCUGAGAGGGUGACCGGCCACACUGGGACUGAGACACGGCCCAGACUCCUACGGGAGGCAGCAGUGGGGAAUAUUGCACAAUGGGCGCAAGCCUGAUGCAGCGACGCCGCGUGAGGGAUGACGGCCUUCGGGUUGUAAACCUCUUUCAGUAGGGAAGAAGCGAAAGUGACGGUACCUGCAGAAGAAGCACCGGCUAACUACGUG
This 466-nucleotide ribosomal RNA is filed under the name uncultured bacterium. RNAcentral describes it as "partial 16S ribosomal RNA". It matches the Rfam family "Bacterial small subunit ribosomal RNA", at positions 28 to 507 of the family's 1533-position model. The record is from RNAcentral.